GCCGUUGUAGCUCAGUUGGUAGAGCAGCUCCAUGGUAAGGAGCAGGUCGACAGUUCAAAUCUGUCCAACGGCUCCA
Molecule: transfer RNA, 76 nt
Filed under: bacterium
Lineage: Bacteria
Description: tRNA-Thr
Rfam family: tRNA
About the family: Transfer RNA (tRNA) molecules are approximately 80 nucleotides in length. Their secondary structure includes four short double-helical elements and three loops (D, anti-codon, and T loops).
Source: RNAcentral